This is a long non-coding RNA of Oncorhynchus tshawytscha (Chinook salmon), 2679 nucleotides long. RefSeq lists it as uncharacterized. The record is from RefSeq and is a predicted model, not a curated record. NCBI's taxonomy places the organism in Eukaryota, Metazoa, Chordata, Actinopteri, Salmoniformes, Salmonidae. The transcript is spliced from 4 exons.
CUCUCAGUCUGGCAUGGAAUAUACAGGACACCGAAAUCACAACGCGCAACAAUGUGUCGUCUCUCAGCGUAAUUAAAAAGUUGAGGAAGAGGGGUGCGACAAAGCAGUGAAUGGAUACGUAUGAUAUGUAACUGUACACAUGUCAAGAACCGAUAGGAGUGAACACCCUCGUAACAAUGCUGCCAAAACCAUGAAAAAUAGCUGGCUCGUCAUAGAUGUACACAAACAACUACCUCCGUCAUCCAUUUAUAAGUAAGCGUGGAGCCAACAAACAUGGAUUUUUUUUCUUCAUUUGUGCACAAUAAAUGACAACAUUCAGAUCAACGUUAAUAAUUAAUUGUCAUGUGUUAGUCAUUCUAUAAAGGGGCGCUAAUGCUCGGUUUUUGCAUACAUUUAAUGUAAGCUUGCCAUCUAGCCUGUGGUUAUGUUGCAUAGCAACCAGUUUAGCGUUGAGACUUUCGUCCAGACUACUUUUUCUGGCAGUAUGUAUUUAUUGUGAAUGUAUUUAUUAAAGAAACAUUUUCAAUAAAGAUGUGUAGUUUCUUGCCUUACUGUGUUGGCAACCGGUUUAUAAAAGCAAUAAGGCACUUUGGGGGUUAGUGGUAUAUGGCCUAUGUACCACGGCUAAAGGCUGUAUGAAGGCACUCCGCGUUGCGUCUUGGGAAGAACAACCCGUAGCCUUGGUAUAUAACCCAUAUACCACACCCUCUUGGGCCUCAUUGUUUAAAUAGACGCUCAGCGCUAUAUCAAAGGGCCUACACUGGAGCCAGUUCCAAAUUUUCAACCGUAAACAAUCAGAACAUUUUGUUCAUCGUUGUAAUUGGUCAGGGGAACAUAUCCAUCGAUCUAACUGUUGUAUAUAAUGACCCUCGCUUGGUUAGCUGCCGAGACUCAAUAGCGCCCCACGUCAUGUGCCAGUACCACACGGCAGGUCUGGCAUUGUAAAUGGCCAUUGUUUUUGUUCCUGAAGGGAAUAAGCUAGAAAAUAGUUAGCUAGCGUUACUUCAGCUGCAUUGCAUUGCAAAUGUCGGCGGUGAAAAAUACAAACUUUGGACAACUAUAUGAUUAUCCAGAAUUUAUUAGAACACACAAUGUUACAUUCACUCCAGAGGAGUAUCAAAUGUAAUAACAUGUAUAUAAGGAAACUAUGUCAAUAUGUUACUAUUCCCUCUGCUAAAAUGUACUGGAAUGCAGCCCUCGGACAAGUGAACUGGAACAGUUUCGUUGUUAUCUGGUAAAUAUUGUACAUCUAAUAAGGUGAAAGAGGUAUCCUACAAACUCAUUCAUAGAAUCUACCCUGUAAAGACCUUUAUUAUACACAGAUUAAAAAUAGCUAUUGAUAACAAAUGUGUAUUUUGUGAUUGUGACCCAGAGACUCGACUAUUUAUUUUGGGACUGCUUUUAUGUCAGAAGAUUUUGGUGUGAGUUAGAAGAUUUUAUUAGAAAAGAAACAACUAUUAAUGUUAAUUUGAAAGACUAUUUGAAAGACUAGAUAUUGUGUUUUAUUUUGAACCAAAUGAUAUGGACCCUGAUUUAACUUUCAUUGUUAAUUUGUUUAUCUUUCAUGGAAGAUUCUUUGUCCAUAAAAUGAAGUGGGCAGAGAACAAACCCCUUUUCACAUUAUUUAAGAUAGAAUUGAAAUAUUAUCUUGAAAUUCUCAGUGAAUGAAAAAACAAAAAAGCAAUUACGCACCAUAAAAGUAUUUAACAAAUUGAAAAUGAAUCUGGAUAUGUAAUACCCCUGUCUGUUAGGUUUAUGUACUCUUGUUUGUAUAUUUCUGUUUUUUGUUGUUGUAUUUGUUGUGUUCAUAAUAAAAUAAAAAUCACCAGCGGCGACCGCUGGUCGAUGACCAAUCAUAUCGAGAGAUUCCCAUGACGAGAUUGACGCUAUGCGACCCAAGGCUGGAGACCGUCUUCAGCAAAGAUGGCUGACAAAAAUAGUGGGACGGAGGCAAGUGGACUCCUGAAACAACCAGCAACCCAAGCUGCUGUUGUGAAAUAGUGGAUGUGAAGAAUCUAGCUAGCUAAAGCAUUUACUGCAAAUGAUUGCUUCCUGAAAUUCCCCCAAGCAGCUGAUUGGUCAGUCCCAUUGAUGAUUGGAGCUGACCCCGCCCUCUUGUCAGAAACAGCAAUCUUCAAUUACCGACUCCUUCUGAAGCUAUAUAAGCCAGUGUUCUGUUGCUCAGAAGAGUGAUGAUUAGUGUGUUCUGUGUUGAUUGUUGUUAUUAAGAGAGCUGAGGGUGAUAGCCUGUGUUGGUUGUUUCUUAGAAAGAGCUUAUUGUUAUAUCUUGUUGGUUUUUGCUCAAAUAGUUUGUGUAUAGUAUUUUGUAGCUGGUUCUGCAAAGGUAUGUGUAUGCCAAAAGGACUGUUAUGAUUAGUAAUUAUUCUGCUUUUGUUCCUAGGGGGUGAAUGCACCUAGGGAGUGCUUAGGCAAGAGGCCUGCGGGCAUACAUAACCUGUAGUAUUCACUGUCUAUGCACACUAGGUAAGGCCUGGGCGGACCACCCCCUGUAUUUUGGUUAGUGCACCAGGUGGUGCUGAGUUAGGUAAGUCGUGGGUGGGUAGGCAGGUAAGGUAGGAGCGGGGGCUUUGACAUUUAGUUUCUUUGCUUUGGUUCCGUCCAGCCCCUUUUCCUCAAAUUUACCAUGUGAAGGAAUCAAUAAAUUCCCUGUAAGCGGUA